RNAcentral lists this ribosomal RNA (447 nucleotides) under uncultured bacterium. RNAcentral describes it as "partial 16S ribosomal RNA". It matches the Rfam family "Bacterial small subunit ribosomal RNA", at positions 29 to 523 of the family's 1533-position model. The record is from RNAcentral.
AGCGAACGCUGGCGGCAGGCUUAACACAAGCAAGUCGAACGCCCCGCAAGGGGAGUGGCAGACGGGUGAGUAACACGUGGGAACGUACCAUUUGGUUCGGAAUAACUUGGGGAAACUCAAGCUAAAACCGGAAAAGCCCUUAUGGGGAAAGGUUUACUGCCGAAGGAUCGGGCCGCGUCUGAUUAGCUAGUUGGUGAGGUAAUGGCUCACCAAGGCGACGAUCAGUAGCUGGUCUGAGAGGAUGAUCAGCCACACUGGGACUGAGACACGGCCCAGACUCCUACGGGAGGCAGCAGUGGGGAAUAUUGGACAAUGGGGGCAACCCUGAUCCAGCCAUGCCGCGUGAGUGAUGAAGGCCUUAGGGUUGUAAAGCUCUUUUACCGGGGACGAUAAUGACUGUACCGGGGUAAUAAGCCCCGGCUAACUUCGUGCCAGCCGCCGCAGUAA